RNAcentral lists this ribosomal RNA (492 nucleotides) under uncultured bacterium. RNAcentral describes it as "partial 16S ribosomal RNA". It matches the Rfam family "Bacterial small subunit ribosomal RNA", at positions 29 to 507 of the family's 1533-position model. The record is from RNAcentral.
AGUGAACGCUGGCGGUAGGCCUAACACAUGCAAGUCGAGCGGCAGCACGGUAAGAUCUUUCUCUUACGGGUGGCGGGUGGCGGACGGGUGAGGAAUACAUAGGAAUCUACUUUUUCGGGGGGGAUAACGGGGGGAAACUGACGCUACUAGCGCAUACGACGUACGGGUGGAAGCAGAGGAGCUUCGGAGCUUGCGCGUCUGAAUGAGACGAUGUCGGAUUAGCUAGUUGGGGGGGUAACGGCCCGCCAAGGCGACGAUCCGUAGCUGGUCUGAGAGGAUGAUCAGCCACACUGGAACUGAGACACGGUCCAGACUCCUACGGGAGGCAGCAGUGGGGAAUAUUGGACAAUGGGCGAAAGCCUGACCCAGCAAUACCGCGUGGGUGAAGAAGGCCUUCGGGUCGUAAAGCCCUUUUGUUGGGAAAGAAAAGCAGUAGGUUAAUCCCCCGCUGUUUUGACGGUACCCAAAGAAUAAGCACCGGCUAACUUCGUG